UAUCGUUGGAUUAAAAAGUUU
Non-coding RNA from Caenorhabditis elegans, 21 nucleotides. The record is from Ensembl. Lineage: Eukaryota; Metazoa; Nematoda; Chromadorea; Rhabditida; Rhabditidae.